GGAGUUAGCCGGUGCUUCUUCUGCGAGUAACGUCACAGAUGUAAGGUAUUAACUUACACCCUUUCCUCCUCGCUGAAAGUGCUUUACAACCCGAAGGCCUUCUUCACACACGCGGCAUGGCUGCAUCAGGGUUUCCCCCAUUGUGCAAUAUUCCCCACUGCUGCCUCCCGUAGGAGUCUGGGCCGUGUCUCAGUCCCAGUGUGGCUGAUCAUCCUCUCAGACCAGCUAGGGAUCGUCGCCUAGGUGAGCCUUUACCUCACCUACUAGCUAAUCCCACCUGGGCUUAUCCAUCAGCGCAAGGCCCGAAGGUCCCCUGCUUUCCCCCGUAGGGCGUAUGCGGUAUUAGCAGUCGUUUCCAACUGUUAUCCCCCACAAAUGGGCAAAUUCCCAGGCAUUACUCACCCGGUCCGCCGCUCGUCAUCUUCAAAAGCAAGCUUUUGAAAUGUUACCGCUCGACUUGCAUGUGUUAGGCCUGCCGCCAGCGUUACAAUCUGAACCAACGAUACAAACUUACUAGA
RNAcentral lists this ribosomal RNA (518 nucleotides) under uncultured bacterium. Its description in RNAcentral is "partial 16S ribosomal RNA". The record is from RNAcentral.